GACGAACGCUGGCGGCGUGCUUAACACAUGCAAGUCGAACGGAAAGGCCCGGCUUUUGUGGGGUGCUCGAGUGGCGAACGGGUGAGUAACACGUGAGUAAGCUGCCCUUGACUUUGGGAUAACUUAAGAAAACUGGGGCUAAUACCGGAUAGGAGCUCUUGCUGCAUGGUGGGGGUUGGAUGGUUUGGGCGGUUGGGGGUGGACUCGCGGCUUAUCGGCUUGUUGGUGGGGUAGUGGCUUAGCAAGGCAUUGACGGGUGGCCGGCCUGAGAGGGUGACCGGACAAAGUGGGCUGGGAAUGCGGCCCAGCCGCCACCGGUAGGGGACAGUGCGGAAUGUGGCACAAUGGGAUGAAGCCUGGCCUGGUACCGCCGCGUGGGGGAUGAGGUGAAUGCGUUUGUAAUCCACUUCCGCUUGUGCCGGAGCGUGAGUGACGGUAACGGGUAAAGAAGCACCGGCUAACUACGUG
Molecule: ribosomal RNA, 468 nt
Filed under: uncultured bacterium
Lineage: Bacteria
Description: partial 16S ribosomal RNA
Rfam family: Bacterial small subunit ribosomal RNA
Source: RNAcentral